Molecule: ribosomal RNA, 253 nt
Filed under: uncultured bacterium
Lineage: Bacteria
Description: partial 16S ribosomal RNA
Rfam family: Bacterial small subunit ribosomal RNA
Source: RNAcentral
UACGUAGGGUGCGAGCGUUGUCCGGAAUUAUUGGGCGUAAAGGGCUCGUAGGCGGUCUGUCGCGUCGGGAGUGAAAACUCAGGGCUUAACCCUGAGCCUGCUUCCGAUACGGGCAGACUAGAGGUAUGCAGGGGAGAACGGAAUUCCUGGUGUAGCGGUGGAAUGCGCAGAUAUCAGGAGGAACACCGGUGGCGAAGGCGGUUCUCUGGGCAACAACUGACGCUGAGGAGCGAAAGCGUGGGGAGCGAACAGG